RNAcentral lists this ribosomal RNA (397 nucleotides) under uncultured bacterium. Its description in RNAcentral is "partial 16S ribosomal RNA". It matches the Rfam family "Bacterial small subunit ribosomal RNA", at positions 523 to 918 of the family's 1533-position model. The record is from RNAcentral.
AUACGUAGGUGGCGAGCGUUGUCCGGAAUUACUGGGCGUAAAGGAUGCGUAGGUGGAUACUUAAGUGGGAUGUGAAAUCCCCGGGCUCAACCCGGGAACUGCAUUCCAAACUGGGUAUCUAGAGUGCAGGAGAGGAAAGCGGAAUUCCUAGUGUAGCGGUGAAAUGCGUAGAUAUUAGGAGGAACACCAGUGGCGAAGGCGGCUUUCUGGACUGUAACUGACACUGAGGCAUGAAAGCGUGGGUAGCAAACAGGAUUAGAUACCCUGGUAGUCCACGCCGUAAACGACGGGUACUAGGUGUAGGAGGUAUCGACCCCUUCUGUGCCGUCGUUAACACAAUAAGUACCCCGCCUGGGGAGUACGGUCGCAAGACUAAAACUCAAAUGAAUUGACGGGG